UAAAGUGGAAAGAUUUGAGUUGAUUGCAACCACAAAAAAAAUGCUAAAACAAC
Molecule: non-coding RNA, 53 nt
Filed under: bovine gut metagenome
Source: RNAcentral